This 602-nucleotide ribosomal RNA is filed under the name uncultured bacterium. Its description in RNAcentral is "bacterial SSU rRNA". It matches the Rfam family "Bacterial small subunit ribosomal RNA", at positions 202 to 804 of the family's 1533-position model. The record is from RNAcentral.
UAAAGACUCAUCGCUGAUAGAUAGGCAUGCGUUCCAUUAGGCAGUUGGCGGGGUAACGGCCCACCAAACCGACGAUGGAUAGGGGUUCUGAGAGGAAGGUCCCCCACAUUGGUACUGAGACACGGACCAAACUCCUACGGGAGGCAGCAGUGAGGAAUAUUGGUCAAUGGGCGUAAGCCUGAACCAGCCAAGUCGCGUGAGGGAUGAAGGUUCUAUGGAUCGUAAACCUCUUUUAUAAGGGAAUAAAGUGCGGGACGUGUCCCGUUUUGUAUGUACCUUAUGAAUAAGGAUCGGCUAACUCCGUGCCAGCAGCCGCGGUAAUACGGAGGAUCCGAGCGUUAUCCGGAUUUAUUGGGUUUAAAGGGUGCGUAGGCGGCCUUUUAAGUCAGCGGUGAAAGUCUGUGGCUCAACCAUAGAAUUGCCGUUGAAACUGGGAGGCUUGAGUAUGUUUGAGGCAGGCGGAAUGCGUGGUGUAGCGGUGAAAUGCUUAGAUAUCACGCAGAACCCCGAUUGCGAAGGCAGCCUGCCAAGCCAUGACUGACGCUGAUGCACGAAAGCGUGGGGAUCAAACAGGAUUAGAUACCCUGGUAGUCCACGCAGUA